This is a non-coding RNA of Nicotiana tabacum (common tobacco), 443 nucleotides long. The record is from RefSeq and is a predicted model, not a curated record. NCBI's taxonomy places the organism in Eukaryota, Viridiplantae, Streptophyta, Magnoliopsida, Solanales, Solanaceae.
CAUGUCGCACACCUAUUUUGAUAGGUGGUGCACGUAGAACGCCUAAUGUGUUUGUGCAAUGACAAAAAGAGCCUUCCUUUCUUUCUUUCUUUCUUUCUUCACACCUUCAACUAAUGCAUCUUCAAUUUAUCUUCUUCGGUAUUUGAUUCUAAGGCCACCAAUUUGGUUGAAUCGCUCUUGCUAGUCAGUAUGGCGCCGCCACGGCAGCUGCCUGUGCUAAACUCUCAUUGGAGUGUACUGUAUUCGUGGGAAGCUUAGAUAUGGAGAGAUAACCUUCCAACGUACUCUUGAUGAAGCAUCUUGGUGCAAAGGAGCGUCUUUAGUAAUGUCACAAAUUACUUAGUAACUUUUUUUGUCACAUUGACGUAACUACUACUAUUUACAGCUUGUUUGGAUGGUUGUUAUUUUUUGUAUUAUAUCGUAUUUUUACUUUAAAUAUAAUA